AUUGAACGCUGGCGGCAUGCCUUACACAUGCAAGUCGAACGGUAGAGUAGCAAUACUCGAGAGUGGCGAACGGGUGAGUAAUAUAUCGGAACGUGCCCAGUCGUGGGGGAUAACGUAGAGAAAUUUACGCUAAUACCGCAUACGAUCUACGGAUGAAAGCGGGGGACUCGCAAGAGCCUCGCGCGAUUGGAGCGGCUGAUAUCAGAUUAGGUUGUUGGUGAGGUAAAAGCUCACCAAGCCGACGAUCUGUAGCUGGUUUGAGAGAACGACCAGCCACACUGGGACUGAGACACGGCCCAGACUCCUACGGGAGGCAGCAGUGGGGAAUUUUGGACAAUGGGCGAAAGCCUGAUCCAGCAAUGCCGCGUGUGGGAAGAAGGCCUUCGGGUUGUAAACCACUUUUGUACGGAACGAAACGCCUCGCUUUAAUACAGUGGGGUAAUGACGGUACCGUAAGAAUAAGCACCGGCUAACUACGUGCCAGCAGCCGCGGUAAUACGUAGGGUGCGAGCGUUAAUCGGAAUUACUGGGCGUAAAGCGUGCGCAGGCGGUUAUAUAAGACAGUUGUGAAAUCCCCGGGCUCAACCUGGGAAUUGCAUCUGUGACUGUAUAGCUAGAGUACGGUAGAGGGGGAUGGAAUUCCGCGUGUAGCAGUGAAAUGC
RNAcentral lists this ribosomal RNA (662 nucleotides) under uncultured bacterium. Its description in RNAcentral is "bacterial SSU rRNA". It matches the Rfam family "Bacterial small subunit ribosomal RNA", at positions 28 to 689 of the family's 1533-position model. The record is from RNAcentral.